Molecule: ribosomal RNA, 433 nt
Filed under: uncultured bacterium
Lineage: Bacteria
Description: partial 16S ribosomal RNA
Rfam family: Bacterial small subunit ribosomal RNA
Source: RNAcentral
AACGAACGCUGGCGGCAUGCCUAACACAUGCAAGUCGAACGAAACCUUCGGGACUUGUGUCGCACGGGUUCGUAACGCGUGGGAAGCUUCCCUUGUGGUCGGAAUAACUCUCCGAAAGGGGUGCUAAUAGCGGAUAAUAUCUUCUGACCAAAGAUUUAUUGCCUUUGGAUGUUCCCGCGUUGCAUUAGCUAGUUGGUAGGGUAAAAGCAUACCAAGGCGUCGAUCCAUAGCUGGUCUGAGAGGAUGAUCAGCCACACUGAGAGUGAGACACGGCCCAGAAUCCUACGGGAGGGAGCAGUGGGUAAUAUUGGAACGUGGGCGAAAGGCUGAUGGAGCAAUGACGCGUGAGUUCUGAAGGCAUUAAGGUUGUAAAGCUCUUUUAACCGGGAUGAUCAUGACGGUACCGAGAGAGUAAGCCCCGGCUAACUCCGUG